This 173-nucleotide small RNA is filed under the name Arabidopsis thaliana (thale cress). RNAcentral's name for it is "ATSL102920". The record is from RNAcentral. Lineage: Eukaryota; Viridiplantae; Streptophyta; Magnoliopsida; Brassicales; Brassicaceae.
UUUUUAAAAACUGAACCAUAGAAACUAAAUCAAAACUAACUGCUGUGGGGUUUGGUUGAUCCCAUUAAGAAUAUUUUGGACCAAAAACCAUUCAAAAGACAAACGGUGAAGACCACAUCUCACUUUGCAAAAUCAUGAGAGCAAUUCUUUUUUCAGCCUGUGAAAAUUUCUUU